AUUGAACGCUGGCGGAAUGCUUUACACAUGCAAGUCGAACGGCAGCACGGACUUCGGUCUGGUGGCGAGUGGCGAACGGGUGAGUAAUGUAUCGGAACGUGCCCAGUCGUGGGGGAUAACGUAGUGAAAAUUACGCUAAUACCGCAUACGAUCUAUGGAUGAAAGCGGGGGAUCGCAAGACCUCGCGCGAUUGGAGCGGCCGAUAUCAGAUUAGGUAGUUGGUGGGGUAAAGGCCCACCAAGCCAACGAUCUGUAGCUGGUCUGAGAGGACGACCAGACACACUGGAACUGAGACACGGUCCAGACUACUACGGGAGGCAGCAGUGGGGAAUUUUGGACAAUGGGCGAAAGCCUGAUCCAGCCAUUCCGCGUGCAGUAUGAAGGCCCUCGGGUUGUAAACCGCUUUUGUACAGAACGAAAAGGUUUCUACUAAUACUAGGAGCUCAUGACGGUACUGUAAGAAUAAGCACCGGCUAACUACGUGCCAGCAGCCGCCGUAA
RNAcentral lists this ribosomal RNA (500 nucleotides) under uncultured bacterium. RNAcentral describes it as "partial 16S ribosomal RNA". It matches the Rfam family "Bacterial small subunit ribosomal RNA", at positions 30 to 523 of the family's 1533-position model. The record is from RNAcentral.